CUUGCAAAAAAGAGUAACAUCGCCUAUAUUAAAAGGGUCAGGCAACUGACUACGGCACUAGAGGCGGUAUAAAAUAGGUAUUUAGGACCCGGGGGCAGAUCCCGGCACCUCCACCAAUUAAAGAAUUGCACUUUCCACCGGCUUGCCGACUGUGGCAAUACAGAACAGCCAUUAUAUGCGGUAAGUUUUAGGAAAGGGUUUCUACUCGAUGUCUAUAAGAUAUCCAUAAAUUGUGGAGAAUGAGUCGAGUAGUAGGCGUCAAGGGCGAGAACAGCGGAGUGUACAUAGAGGUACAUGAGCAUGUUCGAGACCCAACCCAAGCUUGCCGAAUGUGGCAAUACAGAAAAGCCAUUAUAUGCGGUAAGUUUUAGGAAAGGGUUUCUACUCGAUAUCUAUAAGAUAUCCAUAAAUUGUGGAGAAUGAGUCGAGUAGUAGGCGUCAAGGGCGAGAACAGCGGAGUGUACAUAGAGGUACAUGAGCAUGUUCGAGACCAGCAGACAACGCCCUAAUCGACCAUUAUACACAAUUUAUAUAUGGGGGGUGAGUUAGGUUUGACUAACAUACAAUAAAAAUACUUGUUGUGCUCGGUGAGAUACCACCGUUAUCGGUUCAAAUUAAAUAAAUGCUAACGAUAAUAACGUAGCACCUGUUGCUGUAGCUGCUUAAGGCAAGGCAACAAACGCAAAUUCUCUUAACUAUGGUUAGUUAGAGUGGGGCUUGGGCCGCCUAGCAACAGAAGGCCC
RNAcentral lists this transfer-messenger RNA (743 nucleotides) under pig gut metagenome. RNAcentral's name for it is "Alphaproteobacteria transfer-messenger RNA". It matches the Rfam family "Alphaproteobacteria transfer-messenger RNA". From Rfam's summary of the family: Bacterial tmRNA, also known as 10Sa RNA or SsrA, is named for its dual tRNA and mRNA-like properties. Its role is to liberate the mRNA from a stalled ribosome. The record is from RNAcentral.